Molecule: long non-coding RNA, 340 nt
Organism: Cinclus cinclus
Lineage: Eukaryota; Metazoa; Chordata; Aves; Passeriformes; Cinclidae
Exons: 3
Source: RefSeq, a predicted model, not a curated record
CGGCACUUCGGCUGCUCUUCUCCUUCCGCUUCUUCUUGUCCCGCUUGGCGAAGAAGUCGUCCAGGCUUCGCUCCUCGGUCUCCGCCAUGGCGGCGGCCGGGCAGGGAAAGGAAGGCAGCGGCGGCCCGGGCCAAGAGGUGGUACAUGCCAGAUGGACUUUUUGCAGAUUAAAUGAAGGAUCAUUUAACAAGCAGCUGCAUCAGUUUCUUCAAACCUCACCAUCUACUACCCAGCCAUAUAAAACAUGAGAAGCAGUCCAGUCCUCCUACUUCUAGCAACCUCACAGCCCAUUCCCUGGGAGGAUGUUCUCCAUCCUUUUAAGGACAAGUACCUGCUUUGC